RNAcentral lists this long non-coding RNA (1371 nucleotides) under Sorghum bicolor (sorghum). Its description in RNAcentral is "long non-coding RNA (SBIC_LNC007174)". The record is from RNAcentral. Lineage: Eukaryota; Viridiplantae; Streptophyta; Magnoliopsida; Poales; Poaceae.
GUCUAAAGUUGCAAUAAAAGUUGACGUUAUCGACCGUCAACAAUUCCUCCAAGCUUACCUUUUGCCAGUCCCUUGGCAAACCAAGCCUAAGCAAUAUAUGUAUUUGGAUCAAGAGUUGCUACAAUGUUUUCAUUCUUCCAAGUACACAUGCUCCCAAACAAAGAUUGUCCUCUGGAUUAGUUAAUACUUGCUCUAAUCUUCAAACUUACCCGUUUUAACUUUAACCGUGGGGCUUUAUAGCUUUUGAAUGAGUCUUGAGCAAUCAGAAGAUAGAAUCAAUUAGGUCAAGCACUAUGUCUCAAGUUCUUUGCAGAACCAUUAGUUUGGAGUUUUUAUAAGUUUUCAGAAUAAAACUCAGAGCUUAAUUAUAUGACACCCUCAAGUCUCUCAAUGUAUGUGGUAUUUAUGGUUCUCUCUUGAGGAAUUAAUGAUGUUAUGCCUCCUAUAGCUAAAGGUAUAUAUAUGGUAGAGCUUAUAGGAGUGCUAAUAACAAGGAUAAGCAUACUUGCAAUGCAUGUAUUGUAAAGUCAACUAAUGUAUCUAUAGAGAAUCGAGGCAUACAAUCAAACCAAGGUGUGCAUGUGUAUGGAAUAUGGUGGAUAGGUGCAUUUGUGGUAUUUGUGGCUAAUUUUUUUAUUUCUUUGGGAACAACCCUCUAUUGAAACUUUUCAGGAAAGACAUGGGCUAUCUCUUCUCUUUUUUUUUUAAUUCAGGGAGGCGGGCAUCUAGUCUCCAUUGUUUUAAUUAUUGGGACACUUGUCCAUCUUUUACUCACUUUUCUUCUUUUAUAUUUUUGCAUAGCCACAUGUAUCCUUUAAAUACAAUAAAUGAUCAGAGAGGUAAUAAUAAGAACUAAGAACAUUAAAGGCAAGGGUUAUCCUAUAGGGUGAUUGUUGAUGUUUACUCCCAGUGUAGGAGAAAAAACAUGAUUGAUGAACAUGGAAAUGAUUGUGAUUACUCCCAGUGUGGGAAUAAUGCAUAUGUGAACUGGAGUGUGUACGUGAUCUUGGUUUUAAAAGCAUGAGAAGACUCUUGUAAGGUAUACGACCAAGAUUGACUGAACUCAAUGCAAAGCAAGCAGCAUAAAUGUGCAAAUGUUUUCCUAACUCUAAAUGUAUAUUAUAUCUAGCUUUGGUAGGAAUUAGUACUUUGUCAUACAAGAGCUCAUCAUGUAGGAUUUUGGGUUUUCAAAAUAAAUCUCCAGAACUUAGUAAUGCUAGGAAUAAGAUAAAUAACAGCUCAGACUUUCAAUGAUCAUAUCAACUAACUAUCUAGACUUAGCUCAAACUUAUGUCUCCACAAGUUGCAGGUUUAGAGUAAAUCUUCAAAUUAAAACAGUAAUGUCCAAAACUUGAGAAAAUCUAAUGUUGG